This is an RNA transcript of Oncorhynchus keta (chum salmon), 3092 nucleotides long. It is a transcript of the gene named glutamine-dependent NAD(+) synthetase-like, with no coding region annotated. Lineage: Eukaryota; Metazoa; Chordata; Actinopteri; Salmoniformes; Salmonidae. The transcript has 6 exons. The record is from RefSeq and is a predicted model, not a curated record.
AAAACCAAGCGGAUGCUUCACAUUUGUACAUCCGGUGAAAUAUCUGUCUCAUUGUUGUAUUUGUGGUUGGAGUGCCCGGAUUGAAGUGAAACAACGUUGCAACUCAGAUAGUAUUGGGUCGAGUGAUACACUAACUCAUUUGAGAAUUUAGACUAAGGUUCCAACGUUUGAAUAUCAACAAGGAUAUUUUGUUGCACCAUUAUAUAAAAUGGGACGAAAGGUUGGUUAUAUUAGUUACGUGCACAGUGAUACAACGGGCACUAGAUUUUGACGGAAACUUUGGAGAGAAUACAAAGAAGUCCGAAUAAAAAAAUAAAUUAAUUGAAGAUGCAUUGUCCAUUUAACUUAAAUUGUAGUGGGCUCAUAUACAGGGCUGUUUUUUUAAUUUAUUUUUUUUACCCCUUUUUCUCCCCAAUUUCGUGGUAUCCAAUUGUUGUAGUAGCUACUAUCUUGUCUCAUCGCUACAACUCUCGUACGGGCUCGGGAGAGACGAAGGUUGAAAGUCAUGCGUCCUCCGAUACACAACCCAACCAAGCCGCACUGCUUCUUAACACAAGUGCGCAUCCAACCCGGAAGCCAGCCGCACCAAUGCGCCGGAGGAAACACCAUGCACCUGGCCACCUUGGCUAACGCACACUGCGCCCGGCCCGCCACAGGAGUCGCUGGUGCGCGAUGAGACAAGGACACCCCUACCGACCAAGCCCUCCCUAACCCAGGCGACGCUAGGCCAAUUGUGCGUCGCCCCACAGGGCUGUUUUUAAAGGUAUCGUGAAAGCCAAGUCUCAGGGGAAAAAUACAGAUUGGGACCAGAACUGAAAAUAUGUGGGUAUGGCUGUGCAGACCACUUCUACGAGUCAGACACCCUGCUGCACUGUUUCUAGCUACUCAGGAAGCUGCUAGGGUCACCUGUCACCCAGGACAUCAUCUGACAAGCACUUCAGCUAUGUUGUGGCUCUCUUUGCCCCCUGGACUAUUACACCGCACUAAACAGUGUAUGUUGCUGUUUAGUGUGUAUGUUGCUGUGGCUUAUGUUCAUUAUAAGUCUUGGAAACCGGGAGUUAUGUUGGUUUUCACCAUGGAAUAAACUCAGACAUGUGGAGGAGUACUUCCUGCCCAGGAUGAUCCAGGAUGUGACAGGACAGGACACUGUCCCCUUUGUUGACUGCGUCCUCUCAACCAAAGACACCUGCAUCGGGAGUGAGGUCUGUGCUGAACUGUGGAACCCUAGGAGGCACAUUCAAUUAAGAGCCUCAAACGAAGGUCUUUUCUUUUCAAACCUUACUCAAUUUCUGUAAUGAGUUGUGUACUACUGUGUGCCGUCAGUCAUUUGUGUAAUGGAUUGAAAGAGAGCUCAAAUGUUUUUUGAGAGAUUAAGUGAGAUUGCUUAUGUGAAUAAAUAUAUAUAGUAUACAGUUUUUCUAGUAAGCUACAGUAUGUAAUGAAGUAUGUGGGAAUGCCAUGUGCUUGGCAGCCCCCAUGUGGACAUGGGUCUGGACGGUGUGGAGAUCUUCACCAACUCCUCAGCCAGCUAGCACGAGCUACGCAAGGCAGACCACAGAGUCAUCCUGGUUAAAUCAGCCACCAUGAAGGUGAUCGUACACACACGAACGGACGGACGGACACAUGCACAUGUUACAUCGCCCUCAAACUCAACUCUGGACCUCGAAGCCGGUUCCACUGCAUUUUUUUAUUGUUCCCCUCUAAUCAGGGACCGGUUUAGACCUGGGACAACAGGUGUGUGUGCAAUUAAUUAUGAGAUCGAGCAGAAAACCAGCGGGCUCCGGACCACGUAGGCUAAGGGUUGAGGAUCCCUGUUACACAGUAUGUUUAGUGAGAGUAGAGGUACUGCAUGUUGCCUGCCCAGUAACCACUUAGAGGUACUGUUUUGUCAUUAAAGCACGGCUCCAUUUCAUACAGUUUUUUGCCUACAUGUAUAUUUUGAUUAGUAUGAGUUUGGGUAACACUUAUCAUCACAUUGAUCCUAGACGUGUGUAAUAACACUGUAAUUACUACAUAACUACAUUGUUGUUUCAUGUUAUUUUGAGUUGUUAUUGCAUAGUAAUGAAGUUGGGCAGUUUCUAAUAUUACAAGUGGAAUAAGGACAAGUGUGUUGUUGUUUUGCACAGAGUGUGUGUGUGUGGGGGGGGUGUUUGCCAAUCAGAAGGGUUGUGAUGGAGACAGACUCUACUAUGAUGGUUGUGCCAUUGUGGCCAUCAACGAGGACAUAGUGGCCCAGGGACGACUUGGUAAAGACAGGCAAAACAUAACGGAAAGCAAAUGUGAGAAGAAUAUCUUGCAGCCUAUUCUUUCACCCUCACUUCACACACCCGCUGUGAGCUGUGCUUGAUUACAUGGCAUGCCAUGUCUGCAUGUCGUGUAAUGUUAUUGUUAAUGUUAGCCAGAUCCCAAAGGGAACUCUUGGACAAUGUGUAACCUGUGUGUGUGUUGCAGGAGGUUGUGUCACUCUGGGUCUGGAGGAUGUCCACAGCUACAGAGGAGAGCAUUGCCACCCAAACGUGGAGUAUGAGCACAAGCCGUGCCAUCGAGUCAAAGUGGACUUCUCCUGGUCUGAUUGUGAAGAUGUCUACCUCCCCACUCGCCAGCCCAUUGAGUGACAGAUCCACACCCCUGAGGAAGAGAUUCGGCAUGGCACCCCCUGACAAAGACUGUGAUCACAAGUGUUGUGUGGCUAAAAUGCUGCCCAAAAUAAAUAGUAGCUAUUUUUGACUGUCUCCCUGUAUUUUCUUUUUCACCAUGGAAUCAUUGGAAACAGACAGAGACAGCAGCUACUAUAUCGCCACACAGAGGAUUCCGAAGCAUGGAGUGUGACAUUCAUUUACCCUGACUGCUCCCUUUGUGUCUGAAAUUGAGCUGCCUGGCUUUGGUGGAGCCAAUCCCUGUCUGAGAGAAGUUAAAACUAAAAAGACACGUUUUAUUUAAAGCUACUUUCCAGAUCAUGUGACUGCCCACCUCCUUACAGUUUACAGUGUACACAUACAGACCCUUCCAUUCAUGUGACAAACAAGCACAGGCCUUCAUUCUAACAUGCAAUUUGACCCAUGUCAAAUACAUGCACAUGCAUGUCUCUGUGU